This 73-nucleotide transfer RNA is filed under the name Dipodomys ordii (Ord's kangaroo rat). It matches the Rfam family "tRNA". Rfam says of the family: Transfer RNA (tRNA) molecules are approximately 80 nucleotides in length. Lineage: Eukaryota; Metazoa; Chordata; Mammalia; Rodentia; Heteromyidae. The record is from Rfam by way of RNAcentral.
AGGAGCAUGGUUUAAGUGGUAAAGUGCUUGCCUAGCAAGUAAGAGGCUCCGAGUUCAAAUCCUAGUACUGCUA